AGCUUUGCGCAGUGGCAGUAUCGUAGCCAAUGAGGUUUAUCCGAGGCGCGAUUAUUGCUAAUUGAAAAAAAAAAAAAAAAGACUGAAAGCAGGAACACAAAUUCUGGGUUACUUUGAAAACU
This 122-nucleotide small nuclear RNA is filed under the name Cervus hanglu yarkandensis (Yarkand deer). Its description in RNAcentral is "U4 spliceosomal RNA (ENSCHYG00000012389.1)". It matches the Rfam family "U4 spliceosomal RNA". Rfam says of the family: U4 small nuclear RNA (U4 snRNA) is a component of the major U2-dependent spliceosome. The structure of U4 snRNA from yeast and human has been reported. U4 snRNA presents a k-turn RNA motif in the 5p-SL related to recognition of Snu13 protein. Lineage: Eukaryota; Metazoa; Chordata; Mammalia; Artiodactyla; Cervidae. The record is from RNAcentral.